This 182-nucleotide non-coding RNA is filed under the name Desulfitobacterium dichloroeliminans. RNAcentral's name for it is "Lysine sequence". It matches the Rfam family "Lysine riboswitch aptamer". From Rfam's summary of the family: Riboswitches are metabolite binding domains within certain messenger RNAs that serve as precision sensors for their corresponding targets. Allosteric rearrangement of mRNA structure is mediated by ligand binding, and this results in modulation of gene expression. Lineage: Bacteria; Bacillati; Bacillota; Clostridia; Eubacteriales; Desulfitobacteriaceae. The record is from RNAcentral. RNAcentral also lists the same sequence under 1 other name.
GGGUGGGGUAGAGGCGCGGUAUUUAUUAGUCCUUUUUGGAACAGGAGCAGUGAUGAUACUAAGGAGAAGGAAAUAUCGCCGAAGCUAAUAAUACGCUCAGUAUUGUCUGCUGGGUCUGCAGUGAAUAACUGUAGAACUGUCUCAAUGAACGUCCCAGUUUAUUGAGUUGUGCUAUCUCGGCG